CGGCGGACGGGUGAGUAACGCGUGGGUAACCUGCCUUAUACAGGGGGAUAACAGUUAGAAAUGACUGCUAAUACCGCAUAAGCGCACAGUACUGCAUGGUACAGUGUGAAAAACUCCGGUGGUAUAAGAUGGACCCGCGUCUGAUUAGCCAGUUGGCGGGGUAACGGCCCACCAAAGCGACGAUCAGUGCCGACCUGAGAGGGUGACCGGCCACAUUGGGACUGAGACACGGCCCAAACUCCUACGGAAGGCAGCAG
RNAcentral lists this ribosomal RNA (257 nucleotides) under uncultured bacterium. RNAcentral's name for it is "partial 16S ribosomal RNA". It matches the Rfam family "Bacterial small subunit ribosomal RNA", at positions 96 to 354 of the family's 1533-position model. The record is from RNAcentral.